Molecule: long non-coding RNA, 1336 nt
Filed under: Fukomys damarensis (Damara mole-rat)
Lineage: Eukaryota; Metazoa; Chordata; Mammalia; Rodentia; Bathyergidae
Description: lncRNA (ENSFDAG00000029585.1)
Source: RNAcentral
GUCAGAUACAAGAUGGUAGAAUGGAUACACAAAAGUGAACUUUGGGAAUCAAGAGGUGGCCAAAUAGCAACCUGUGGGUUAGCUACCAGCAAACGUCUACUCUUGUGUUGGAUUCCCAACAUGGUAAGACUAUUUAGAUAAAGAUCGUAUUUAGAUAAAGAUUGCUUUCUGUUUCUGUUUUUACCAGCAGAGGUAAAUAUCAUUAAGAAUGUAAACAAUACUUCUCAAAGUAAUGUGUUCCCCAAACAAAUACAAAUGAUGCUUUUAAAUAAAUGACUGAGCUGGGCAUGGCGGUACACUCGGGAGGCUGAGGCAUUUGGAGGCAGGACAGAUACCCUUAGGUUUAAUCUCCUAGCACCUCCCUCAAAAAUAAAUAAAUAAAAAUGAGACUUUAGUAUUGCCUGGCAAUUUGAAUUACCCACUUUCUUUUUUAAGACAUGGCCACUUUCUUUUUUAAAUUUAUUUUUACUAUUUUCUUUUCUUCUUUCUUCUUCCUUUUGUUUGGUUGUUUCUUUCUUUUUAGGGCCUUUGUACUGAACCCCCUUAUUUGGAAACAGUAUCUCAUCAAGUUGCCCAGGCUGGCCUUGAACUUGCACUCUUUCUGCCUCAGUCUACUGAAUAAUGCACCACCUCCCCUGGCUGCCUUUGGGAUUUUUCAACUGUUACUUGAAUAGCUGAAAACAUAUUACCAUCUCUGUGUCCAGACUUCCAGACUGAGUUAUACAGGACAGUUCAUUGGAACCAGGAAAACAUUCAGUGGAUAUGGUGCCAACCCACCAGUGCUGCAGGGCCAACCUCAGGACCAGAUGAAACUGUGCCGAAUAAAAGAUGAAGAAACAGGAAAAACAGGACUUCCUUGAAAAUCACAAAAAAGGAACAUGACAUGUAAAAGCAAAACAAAUAAGACACAGAAACAUAAUUACUUCAGGAAAUAAAAACAAUAGACUAAAUUUCCUUUCUUUUCUCCAUGGAAUUAAAGUCAUGUGAAUGGAAAGGAGAGUUGUUAUGCUUAAGAAAUAAAUUAAAGGGUAAGACACAAUCAAUUUUGAAAUGAUAAUUACUUUAGAAGCAAAGAAUCAACUUUGAAAAAAAAGAUCAGAGGUAGGUAGGGUAGGCAUGAGAAGAAGCCACAGAUAAGUCAGUGAAAAAUUAAUUCAGAUCUCCUGGAAGUGGAGAUCCCAGUUGGCAAUGAUUUAUACCCUGGCAAAAGAAAAUCGAGUAUUAGCUGGAAUUUAAUAUGGUGCAUGAUUAUCUUAUAAACAUUCUGUUAUUCAAAACAAAAUGGCAAAGAAAGCAUGCGGGUUUUAAAAUUAUUUAUGUAAAGCUUAAAACACAA